RNAcentral lists this long non-coding RNA (420 nucleotides) under Sus scrofa (pig). RNAcentral describes it as "lncRNA (ENSSSCG00025015126.1, ENSSSCG00065002650.1)". Lineage: Eukaryota; Metazoa; Chordata; Mammalia; Artiodactyla; Suidae. The record is from RNAcentral.
AUGGACACGGUCAAGGGACACAAGGGGGGUGACCACGAGCUGGUCAGGCAGCUUUUAGUCGGAGUCAACUUGUGGUUUGUGAAGACACGGGUGGACAUGGCUGUGGGGAAAGACCAGGUGGAGACAGAGACGGCCAAGGAAAUUCUGGGGCUUGCAGUACAGACCAUUGGGCAUCCUUGUUCAUGCCAUGCAUUUCGUGUUGUUGACAGUCUCUUGGGAGCCAGCAUGAGAACAUCAGAAAGUCCUAUGGAAGGGGAGUUCCUGUUGUGGUUCAGCAGUAACAAAUCUGGCUAGUAUCCAUGAGGACACGGGUUCAAUCCCUGGCUUCGCUCAGUGGGUUAAGGAUUCGGUGUUGCCAUGAACUUUGGUGUAGGUCGAAGACAUGGCUUGGACUCUGUGUUGCUGUGGCUGUGACAUAGG